AAACUAAGCUUCGAUAUUUCACCACGUUCGAACAAUCUGAAUCUUCGAAAAGCACUUCCGAUGUCAACAACUGCAGACUUCCGGCCAAGUUUGACGUGGAACGAAACAACUUUUGACUGACGGUUUCGCAUGGUUAAACAAUAUGUCUGCUUCGGACGAAGAAGAUUUUGCCAGUGCUGAAGAGGGUGAGGAAAUCAAAGGAAAAAAGCCAGUCAAGAAAGGUGCCAAGGGAGAGCAAAAUAGACCUUCAUCUGCUAAGGGAAAGCAGUCAAAACGAUCUACUGGUGAUAAGCAAGGAAAGCAGAAAAAGAAAGAAGCAGAAUCAAUUAACAAAGAAACACCGCGAGUUGGUGAAACAGCGAAAGGUAGCGUCAAAAAGUGUUGGAAGAACAGAAAAGCAGAGUAUCAGAGCCAGCACAGGCCACACACCCCCUCAGCUCAGAAGACCACAGCACUGAUAAUAAACCUGCAGUAGCCCCUGCCAAUGCUCUCAAGGAAAUAAUAGGUACAACACAUAGUAAGGAAGUAACAACUAGUUCUUCUAGAAAUAUUGUACAAGAACCAAUGAAAGGCACUGUUCCAGAGAAUGUUUCUGGAGAAGAUGAGAUGAAUUCUGAAAUUUCUGCUGUAGCUGCAGGAGACACGCAGCAACAGCCUCAACCUAAACUACAGCAAACUGAGUCAGAGAACCCAUCAGUGCAAGUGAUUUCACGAGAUGCUGGUGAUGCAGUGGCUGCAGAGGACGAAGGGGGCCAAACAGAUGCCAAGAGUGAUGAGGGCUGGAGUUGGGGAUGGGGGUCUUCCUUUAUUAAUGCAGCAACAUCUUCUCUGGAGACUUUCACUUCUCAAGUUGGUGAGGGGUUAGCAACUAUCAUUGACACCGUAGAGUCGAGUCUUGGAGUUCCUGAUCCUCAGGAGCUUGCCCAAGCUGAAGCAGCUGUAGAAAAAGCCUCGGAACCCAAUGGCGCUGAGAGAGUAGAAGGAACAGCGCAACCAUGUGAAAAAGAAAGCACAGAUAAAGGGAAGAGAGAACUAGUUCAGAAUGAAAAGGGAGCAGAGGUACAGGCAGGCAACCGUCUUCUUGAAGAGGAAGUGCAGGAAAAGAGUAGCUGGCUUUCAGGCUGGGGGAUGUCCAGCCUCACCUCCAUGGGCAAAUCGUUGGUCAACAAAAGUCAGUCACUGAUGAACUCUGGCUUUGAAAAGGCAGAAGUUCUGGCUGCAGGAGGCCUGGAUAUCCUUGAGACCAUUGGUAAAAAGACAUACACCACCCUGACAGAACAUGACCCAGGACUGCGGCGAGCGCGAGAGUUUUUGCACCUUCAAGGAGAGAAACCCAGCUUGUCAUCUGUGUUAAAAGAAGCCCAGGAACAGGCAGAGAAGCAGGCAAAGCUAGACGAAGAGUUCAAAGAAGCUCUUAAGAUCAACUUUGGAGCUUUGUUUGAAGAUAAUCAAGGUUUUGCACAUUUGGAAGCUCUUGAAAUGCUGUCCAACCAGAGUGAACGAAAAGUGCAGUCUUUGCUGUCACACAUGGCAGAUGAUGAUCUGGAGUUAGUGCGGCCACAUCUGGUUGAGAUCAAAGAUGUUUUUCAGCAGUUGGGAGAAGUACAAGAGAAGGAGACAGCAGAUGAGUUGGAGCAUGACUUCAGCAAACUGGUGACAGAAAAUCUUUCUGAACUCCACAUGGGAACAACCCCAGACAAACUCAACCAGGUUCAGGAAUCUGUACGACAGUGGAUUGCUGACUUUUACUCCCAUGAGGAUCAUGGUAAAAUCUCUGAUGUCAAGGAGGUACAGCAAAGAGCUAUCCAGUCACUAGCAGAAGUGACAGCCAAAGCAGUUGAGCAAUUUCACAAGGCUGGGGAGCUGGUUUUGUUGCAGAAUGAUGCAGAGAAGAGUUGUGUUCAUCGAGCUAAGAGCUUAGCUAGGCUGGCUCAGGUGUUGGUGACAGAGGUGGAUAUCCUUGCUACCAAAUUUUCCGAGUGCCUCAACAAAAUUGCUGAAGAGAAAAACAUCGCGGAUGAAGUGAAUCCCAUGGUUACAAAUAUCUAUUUGGAGGCCAGCAAUGCUUGCGGCUACAUUCAGGAUGCUUUUCGACUGCUGCUGCCCGUUCUUCAGCAUGCUGCUUUGCAGUCAGCUGUAAACAAGAGCCUGUCUUAGUCUAUGGCCAAAGCACCAGCUUUUGUGUCGUACAAGUUCAGCAGUGGGACAUCUGGGAAUUUUAUCUCAGACUUGUCCAAAGUUUUAAAAUGGGAAUAAAAAUUUUCUUUACAAAGGCAGGCAAGGAAAUCAAGAACUUUCAAAUGAUGCUGUGGUUCUGUGUAUCUAUGUUGAACUUCAUCUGCUUCAGAGUAUAAAAAAAAAAAAGUAUCAUUAAAAAGAAAGGUGGAGGUUUUCAGUGCACCAUUUUCCGUUCAUUUAGUGGCUCGCUCAUUAGAAGUAAACUGAAAAAUUUUUUUUUACCAAAUUUUGAUUUGGUCACAACUGUGAACUUCUGAUAAUUUAAAUCAUCACAGAUUGUGAAAGUAAAUGCAAUAAUGUUGAAUGAUCUUUGGUGUUGUAUAGGGUUUGGGCCUGUAAGUUUUUUUUUUUUCUGAUGGCUAGAGUAAUGGCAUCCAAGACAUGCAUGCUAGCUGGUUUGAUGCAACGUACUUCUAGCUGAGGAGCAGGUACCUACCUCCAUAAAGAGUUGAGGAAGGUAAAGCAGAAAGGGAGAAGAGAUGGUCAUUACCCUCACAAAAGCUGGCCCUAAGAUCAGUGAGGGCUCUAACACUUUACUGCCCUAAGACCAAAAGGUCACAGGCUUGCCUUUAGAGGUCUGCAUAGGAAUGUGACAGCAUAGCAAUUUCAAGCACAUUUGUUAAUAUUAGCCCAUCUCUUUUUUGUGGGGUAAUUAUUUGCACAAGACAGAACUGCUACUUAUUUCAUUUUUGUAACUAUAGCAUUUUUCCUUUUAGUUUCUUGUAAGCCAAAAUUGUUUUAUUACGGCACACAAUAUAUCCUAGCUUCUGCUGUCUACAGUCAUUAAAAUUCAUGUUUCCUUUGUCAUCACCUGUUGACACAGUAGCUGUCAAUAUUCAAAAUCAAUGGGUUCAGUGUAUUAAGACUGUUACUUGGUUUAACCUGUCUAGUAUCCUGGAAAAAUGUAAAUAAAUACUGAAGGAUUUUUUUUCUAAAACAUUUAAUAAUUUCCUAGCUGGCCCUUAAAAGAAAACUUAUUUUUGAAGUAUCAUUUCAAGGAAUAGGCGCAGUUGAGUUAGAAGUAUCUAAAUGUGAAUCUUAAAAGCUUCCAGGUGAUGCCAGUGAAGCAUAUUCAUAGCCACAUUUAUGAGCUGUACUAUUGUAAAUAAAUAUCAGUAAGGUUU
This 3362-nucleotide unclassified non-coding RNA is filed under the name Pomacea canaliculata. RNAcentral describes it as "protein FAM114A2-like, transcript variant X1". Lineage: Eukaryota; Metazoa; Mollusca; Gastropoda; Architaenioglossa; Ampullariidae. The record is from RNAcentral.